UACGGAGGGUGCAAGCGUUGUCCGGAAUUAUUGGGCGUAAAGAGCUCGUAGGCGGUUUGUUGCGUCGGCUGUGAAAUCCCGAGGCUCAACCUCGGGUCUGCAGUCGAUACGAGCAAACUAGAGUGUUGCAGGGGAGACUGGAAUUCCUGGUGUAGCGGUGAAAUGCGCAGAUAUCAGGAGGAACACCGGUGGCGAAGGCGGGUCUCUGGGCAACAACUGACGCUGAGGAGCGAAAGCGUGGGGAGCGAACAGG
RNAcentral lists this ribosomal RNA (253 nucleotides) under uncultured bacterium. Its description in RNAcentral is "partial 16S ribosomal RNA". It matches the Rfam family "Bacterial small subunit ribosomal RNA", at positions 524 to 776 of the family's 1533-position model. The record is from RNAcentral.